CUCCUGCCGGCGACCGGCGCACGGGUGAGUAACACGUAUGCAACCUGCCCCUGUCAGGGGGACAACCCGCCGAAAGGCGGGCUAAACCCGCGUACAUGCCACCGGGGCAUCCCGGAGGCAGGAAAGGCUUCGGCCGGACAGGGAUGGGCAUGCGGCGCAUUAGGCAGUAGGCGGGGUAACGGCCCACCUAACCGACGAUGCGUAGGGGUUCUGAGAGGAAGGUCCCCCACACUGGUACUGAGACACGGACCAGACUCCUACGGGAGGCAGCAG
RNAcentral lists this ribosomal RNA (273 nucleotides) under uncultured bacterium. RNAcentral's name for it is "partial 16S ribosomal RNA". It matches the Rfam family "Bacterial small subunit ribosomal RNA", at positions 82 to 354 of the family's 1533-position model. The record is from RNAcentral.